This 471-nucleotide unclassified non-coding RNA is filed under the name Serratia marcescens. RNAcentral describes it as "partial contains 16S ribosomal RNA, 16S-23S ribosomal RNA intergenic spacer, and 23S ribosomal RNA". The stretch from base 190 to 262 matches the Rfam family "tRNA". Lineage: Bacteria; Pseudomonadati; Pseudomonadota; Gammaproteobacteria; Enterobacterales; Yersiniaceae. The record is from RNAcentral.
CCUAAAGAUAUUAGUUCGAGUGGCGUGCUCACACAGAUUGUCUGAUAAAAAGUAACGAGCAAAAAUACCUUUAUAGGCUUGUAGCUCAGGUGGUUAGAGCGCACCCCUGAUAAGGGUGAGGUCGGUGGUUCAAGUCCACUCAGGCCUACCACUUCUCAGAAGUGGAAAAGGUACUGCACGUGACUGUAUGGGGCUAUAGCUCAGCUGGGAGAGCGCCUGCCUUGCACGCAGGAGGUCAGCGGUUCGAUCCCGCUUAGCUCCACCAUAUAGUCCGGUAUUUAAUACUUCAGAGUAUAUUGGCGACAGUAUGCUGCGAAGUAUUUUGCUCUUUAACAAUCUGGAACAAGCUGAAAAUUGAAACAUGACGGCUGAAAUUUAUCCCUCCGUAGAUGUAUUGGGAUGAAGAGUAACCUGUCAUAGAGUCUCUCAAAUGUUUGCAGCGCGAACGAUGGAAACAUCUUCGGGUUGUGA